AUCACUUGUCAGCCUUUUGGCUAAGAUCAAGUGUAGUAUCUGUUCUUAACAAUUUAAUACCUGAUUCAUCCUCUAUCCAGAGACAAAUAUAUUACAUGGAUUUUUGGAAUUAGGACAUAGGAUAGGAGCUUAUUCUCUCCACUCCACCUGUCAACCGGGUGUUGCAGUACUAUUACUUCAUUGUAGAGAAAAU
RNAcentral lists this small nuclear RNA (193 nucleotides) under Vulpes vulpes (red fox). RNAcentral's name for it is "U2 spliceosomal RNA (ENSVVUG00000002667.1)". It matches the Rfam family "U2 spliceosomal RNA". From Rfam's summary of the family: U2 is a small nuclear RNA (snRNA) component of the spliceosome (involved in pre-mRNA splicing). Complementary binding between U2 snRNA (in an area lying towards the 5' end but 3' to hairpin I) and the branchpoint sequence (BPS) of the intron results the bulging out of an unpaired adenosine, on the BPS, which initiates a nucleophilic attack at the intronic 5' splice site, thus starting the first of two transesterification reactions that mediate splicing. The record is from Rfam by way of RNAcentral. Lineage: Eukaryota; Metazoa; Chordata; Mammalia; Carnivora; Canidae.